AACGCACAUUGCGCCCCUUGGUAUUCCGAGGGGCAUGCCUGUUCGAGCGUCAUUACAACCCUCAAGCAUUGCUUGGUAUUGGGCCCCGCUGCUUACCCAGCGGGCCUUAAAAUCAGUGGCGGUGCCGUCGAGGCCCUGAGCGUAGUAAAUAUCCUCGCUAUAGGGACUCGGUGGACGCUGGCCAUCAACCCCCAACUUUCUAAGUUUGACCUCGGAUCAGGUAGGGAUACCCGCUGAACUUAA
Molecule: unclassified non-coding RNA, 243 nt
Filed under: uncultured fungus
Lineage: Eukaryota; Fungi
Description: sequence contains ITS2
Rfam family: 5.8S ribosomal RNA (bases 1-52)
Source: RNAcentral